UACGGAGGUCGCAAGCGUUAUUCGGAUUUACUGGGCGUAAAGGGCGCGUAGGCGGCUAGAUGUGUCUAAGGUGAAAUCCCUCGGCUCAACUGAGGAACUGCCUUUGAAACUGUCUGGCUUGAGGCCGGGAGAGGGUAGCGGAAUUCCCAGUGUAGCGGUGAAAUGCGUAGAUAUUGGGAGGAACACCAGUGGCGAAGGCGGCUACCUGGACCGGUUCUGACGCUGAGGCGCGAAAGCGUGGGUAGCAAACAGG
This 253-nucleotide ribosomal RNA is filed under the name uncultured bacterium. RNAcentral describes it as "partial 16S ribosomal RNA". It matches the Rfam family "Bacterial small subunit ribosomal RNA", at positions 524 to 776 of the family's 1533-position model. The record is from RNAcentral.